CUGCUAAUGUCUUUGCAAAAUCAAUAGAUCUAUUAGCACUUGCACGGUUUCGGCAUCGGCCUGUUUGCUUGCCUAGCUGGUGCCUCAUAUAUUUGUUUUUGUGUCGUUGAAGAUAACUGCAUAAAUGUUUCGUGGCAUCGUUUGGCAGCAGAUUCUUUUUCCCUAUAACGUUGAACGAUCUACGAUAAUGAUGAGCAUCUUGAAAGGAAGAUUCUAGAUCCUGAGCACUUGAGCAAGGUGGAAUCAAUUUUCGGCAAUCUUUCAGAAACCAUUAAAAUAUAUGGUCCUUGGUCUUCUGCAUGGGUAGGAGAAGCUGGAGGGGCAUACAACAGUGGUGGCAAUCAUGUUUCUAACAGAUUUCUAAACAGCUUUUGGUACUUAGAUCAACUUGGAAUAGCAUCCUGCUACAGCACUAAAGUCUAUUGCAGGCAGACUUUAAUUGGAGGGAACUAUGGCCUUCUCAAUACCACCACCUUUGCUCCCAAUCCUGACUACUACAGUGCAGUUUUGUGGCAUCGGUUAAUGGGAAAGAAGGUUCUUGCGGUCUCAAGUGAUGUUCAUAUUAAAGACUUUUACCUACAGUUAGGAAAUGUAAGUAGAAGUUAAUGACUUUUACCUACAAUUGAAGAUGAUAGAUACAUAUUAAAGACUUUUUACCUACAGUUAGGAAAUGUAAGUAGAAGUUAAUGACUUUAACCUACACAUUAUACAUAGUAGGUGAAACCUAUAGUGACAGACAAUUAGCCGUCACUAUACCCCCCUCAAAGUUGACAGAGAAAACGUCCGUAGGACAAAGUCUAUCAUACAUUUACCUACUGAUUUUUUAUUUAUAAUGACAGUUUUUAUGCGUAGGUAUAU
Long non-coding RNA from Glycine soja, 858 nucleotides. RefSeq lists it as uncharacterized. Lineage: Eukaryota; Viridiplantae; Streptophyta; Magnoliopsida; Fabales; Fabaceae. The transcript is spliced from 4 exons. The record is from RefSeq and is a predicted model, not a curated record.